This 450-nucleotide ribosomal RNA is filed under the name uncultured bacterium. RNAcentral describes it as "bacterial SSU rRNA". It matches the Rfam family "Bacterial small subunit ribosomal RNA", at positions 354 to 796 of the family's 1533-position model. The record is from RNAcentral.
GUGGGGAAUAUUGGACAAUGGGCGAAAGCCUGAUCCAGCCAUGCCGCGUGUGUGAAGAAGGUCUUCGGAUUGUAAAGCACUUUAAGUUGGGAGGAAGGGCAGUAAGUUAAUACCUUGCUGUUUUGACGUUACCGACAGAAUAAGCACCGGCUAACUUCGUGCCAGCAGCCGCGGUAAUACGAAGGGUGCAAGCGUUAAUCGGAAUUACUGGGCGUAAAGCGCGCGUAGGUGGUUCAGCAAGUUGAAGGUGAAAUCCCCGGGCUCAACCUGGGAACUGCCUCCAAAACUACUGAGCUAGAGUACGGUAGAGGGUAGUGGAAUUUCCUGUGUAGCGGUGAAAUGCGUAGAUAUAGGAAGGAACACCAGUGGCGAAGGCGACUACCUGGACUGAUACUGACACUGAGGUGCGAAAGCGUGGGGAGCAAACAGGAUUAGAUACCCUUGUAGUCC